RNAcentral lists this long non-coding RNA (232 nucleotides) under Pan troglodytes (chimpanzee). RNAcentral's name for it is "long non-coding RNA NONPTRT001338". The record is from RNAcentral. Lineage: Eukaryota; Metazoa; Chordata; Mammalia; Primates; Hominidae.
UAGACCUUGGCUCUUUGAGUGCCUUCCCACAACACUUGACUAAAGUCUCUGGAGCAGGGUCAGAUGUGACCCAUAUUCUGUCCUUCUAGUCAGCAAUAUUCACUGAAUGCUCCCUCUAUCCACAGUAUCCAAAAGCAGUUUCCAGAUGGGAGGACCCAGGCAUUGUUUCCUAUUACAUGAGCCUCUGGAAGCUGUGCCAGGACAUGUGGGGAACAAAGUUACUUCUCACAUU